RNAcentral lists this transfer RNA (63 nucleotides) under Megaginus tataupensis. RNAcentral describes it as "tRNA-Asp". The record is from RNAcentral. Lineage: Eukaryota; Metazoa; Arthropoda; Insecta; Psocodea; Heptapsogasteridae.
AAGAGUUUAGUUUAAAAAAAACAUUUAAUUGUCUAUUAAAAAAAGCUCCUUUUGCAACUCUUA